RNAcentral lists this ribosomal RNA (254 nucleotides) under uncultured bacterium. RNAcentral describes it as "partial 16S ribosomal RNA". It matches the Rfam family "Bacterial small subunit ribosomal RNA", at positions 524 to 777 of the family's 1533-position model. The record is from RNAcentral.
UAUGAAGGGGGCUAGCGUUGCUCGGAAUCACUGGGCGUAAAGGGUGCGUAGGCGGGUCUUUAAGUCAGGGGUGAGAUCCUGGAGCUCAACUCCAGAACUGCCUUUGAUACUGAGGAUCUUGAGUUCGGGAGAGGUGAGUGGAACUGCGAGUGUAGAGGUGAAAUUCGUAGAUAUUCGCAAGAACACCAGUGGCGAAGGCGGCUCACUGGCCCGAUACUGACGCUGAGGCACGAAAGCGUGGGGAGCAAACAGGG